RNAcentral lists this transfer RNA (90 nucleotides) under Elusimicrobiota bacterium. Its description in RNAcentral is "Elusimicrobia bacterium tRNA-Ser". It matches the Rfam family "tRNA". From Rfam's summary of the family: Transfer RNA (tRNA) molecules are approximately 80 nucleotides in length. Their secondary structure includes four short double-helical elements and three loops (D, anti-codon, and T loops). Lineage: Bacteria; Pseudomonadati; Elusimicrobiota. The record is from RNAcentral.
GGAAGGGUGCGUGAGCGGUUGAAACGGACGCUCUCGAAAAGCGUUAGGCGGGAAACCGCCUCGUGGGUUCGAAUCCCACCCCUUCCGCCA